CUCAUGAGCCAUUGGAGGCUUGCGUGGUCGGUGAUCACGGUGAAUGGCAUCAUUUCAACAUACGGCCUAAAUCGAUGAAUGGCCAACUUCGCGGCCAAGCACUCCUUUUCAGUCACGGUAUAGUUGAUUUGGUGCCGGUUCAAUUUGGCCGAAAGGACGCGAUCGGCCUCUUCUGCUGUUCCUCGUCCAAUUGGAACAAAACAGCUCCGACUCCGAAAUUUGAUGCGUCUCACUGGAUGUAGAAUGGCUUCUUAAAAUCGGCGUGCACCAACACCGGAGCCGUGAGAAUUCGUCAGUGGUACUGAGAUCUCUGCGAAGUUCUUAAUGAAUCUCCGAUACCAGCCAGCCGUACCCAAGAAGCUAAGCAGUUCCUUGACCGUUCUUGGAGCAGGGAUGUUAUUGAUGGCCUCCACUCUGCUCGGGUCCAUCCGUAAAGUGCCUCCACCUAUGAUGAAACCUAAAUAGUUGAGGUUCCUAAAGCAGAACUUGGAUUUGGCCAUGCCAAUGAUGUGUGUCGAAAUCCGCCGAGAUGAUUAACAAAUCGUCCAAGUACACGAAUACAGUGGACCUUAGGGAGUCG
Long non-coding RNA from Drosophila sulfurigaster albostrigata, 580 nucleotides. RefSeq lists it as uncharacterized. The record is from RefSeq and is a predicted model, not a curated record. The transcript is spliced from 3 exons. NCBI's taxonomy places the organism in Eukaryota, Metazoa, Arthropoda, Insecta, Diptera, Drosophilidae.